UACGUAGGGGGCAAGCGUUGUCCGGAUUUAUUGGGCGUAAAGCGCGCGUAGGCGGCGCGGUAUGUCGUGCGUGAAAUCUCCCGGCUUAACUGGGAGGGGCCGUGCGAAACUGCCGGGCUUGAGGUCGGAAGGGGAACGUGGAAUUCCGGGUGUAGUGGUGGAAUACGUAGAUAUCCGGAGGAACACCAGCGGCGAAGGCGGCUUUCUGGUCCGAUACUGACGCUGAGGUGCGAAAGCGUGGGGAGCGAUCCGG
This 253-nucleotide ribosomal RNA is filed under the name uncultured bacterium. Its description in RNAcentral is "partial 16S ribosomal RNA". It matches the Rfam family "Bacterial small subunit ribosomal RNA", at positions 524 to 776 of the family's 1533-position model. The record is from RNAcentral.